CCUACGGGUGGCUGCAGUGAGGAAUAUUGGUCAAUGGCCGGGAGCCUGAACCAGCCAAGUCGCGUGAAGGAAGAAGGUACUUAGUAUUGUAAACUUCUUUUGUCGGGGAACAAAGUCGGAGACGCGACUCCGAAUGAGUGUACCAGAAGAAAAAGCAUCGGCUAACUCCGUGCCAGCAGCCGCGGUAAUACGGAGGAUGCGAGCGUUAUCCGGAUUUAUUGGGUUUAAAGGGUGCGCAGGCGGGCGAUCAAGUCAGCGGUAAAAGGUCGGGGCUCAACCCCGGCCGGCCGUUGAAACUGGUUGUCUAGAGUUGGAGAGAGGUAUGCGGAAUUCGCGGUGUAGCGGUGAAAUGCAUAGAUAUCACGAAGAACUCCGAUUGCGAAGGCAGCAUACCGGCGCCAUACUGACGCUGAGGCACGAAAGCGUGGGGAUCGAACAGGAUUAGAUACCCGGGUAGUC
This 459-nucleotide ribosomal RNA is filed under the name uncultured bacterium. Its description in RNAcentral is "partial 16S ribosomal RNA". It matches the Rfam family "Bacterial small subunit ribosomal RNA", at positions 338 to 795 of the family's 1533-position model. The record is from RNAcentral.